RNAcentral lists this ribosomal RNA (255 nucleotides) under uncultured bacterium. RNAcentral describes it as "partial 16S ribosomal RNA". It matches the Rfam family "Bacterial small subunit ribosomal RNA", at positions 524 to 776 of the family's 1533-position model. The record is from RNAcentral.
GACGUAGGAGGUGAGCGUUGUUCGGAAUUAUUGGGCGUAAAGAGCUCGUAGGCGGCGUGUCACGUCGGUUGUGAAAGCCCGGGGCUUAACUCCGGGUCUGCAGUCGAUACGGGCAGGCUAGAGUUCGGUAGGGGAGAGUCGGAAUUCCUGGUGUAGCGGUGAAAUGACGCAGAUAUCAGGAGGAACACCGGUGGCGAAGGCGGAUCUCUGGGCCGAUACUGACGCUGAGGAGCGAAAGCGUGGGGAGCGAACAGG